UGGACUUUUUAGCAUGUUUCACGCAUCAUGAAUGCCAUGAGAUGUACUAGGUUGUUUGCAUUAGAAUUCACGAAUAUGUUGCAUUGCAUACUUUAUUGUUGAUUGAUGUGGAUGAACGUUGGAUGAUCCAAAGCCCUCGAUCUAUGAUAUGACGAUGUGAUAUGUACGGUACGGAAUGUAAGACCAGUGGGACCCAUUCUACGUCCGCUGGCACCAUGUAAGGGAAAGACCAGGACCCAUUCUACGUUCUGGCACAGUUGGACUGUUACGUUAUGCUAUGUUAUGUAAG
This 289-nucleotide long non-coding RNA is filed under the name Manihot esculenta (cassava). RNAcentral describes it as "long non-coding RNA (MESC_LNC007442)". The record is from RNAcentral. Lineage: Eukaryota; Viridiplantae; Streptophyta; Magnoliopsida; Malpighiales; Euphorbiaceae.